UAUAAGUGAUGGCGACCGGCGCACGGGUGAGUAACACGUAUCCAACCUGCCGAUAACUCGGGGAUAGCCUUUCGAAAGAAAGAUUAAUACCCGAUGGUAUAAUAAAACCGCAUGGUUUAAUUAUUAAAGAAUUUCGGUUAUCGAUGGGCAUGCGUUCCAUUAGGCAGUUGGUGAGGUAACGGCUCACCAAACCUUCGAUGGAUAGGGGUUCUGAGAGGAAGGUCCCCCACAUUGGAACUGAGACACGGUCCAA
RNAcentral lists this ribosomal RNA (253 nucleotides) under uncultured bacterium. RNAcentral's name for it is "partial 16S ribosomal RNA". It matches the Rfam family "Bacterial small subunit ribosomal RNA", at positions 80 to 334 of the family's 1533-position model. The record is from RNAcentral.